GAUAAACGCUGGCGGCGCACAUAAGACAUGCAAGUCGAACGAACUUAAUACCUUGCUUGCAAGGUAAGCGGUUAGUGGCGGACUGGUGAGUAACACGUAAGAAAUCUGCCUAUCAGAGGGGAAUAACAGUGAGAAAUCAUUGCUAAUACCGCAUAUGCCAUAGUUAUCGCAUGAUAAUAGUGGGAAAGGAGCAAUCCGCUGAUAGAUGAGCUUGCGUCUGAUUAGCUAGUUGGUGGGGUAACGGCCUACCAAGGCGACGAUCAGUAGCCGGACUGAGAGGUUGAACGGCCACAUUGGGACUGAGAUACGGCCCAGACUCCUACGGGAGGCAGCAGUCGGGAAUAUUGCGCAAUGGAGGGAACUCUGACGCAGUGACGCCGCGUAUAGGAAGAAGGUUUUCGGAUUGUAAACUAUUGUCCACAGGGAAGAUAAAAGACUGUACCUGUGAAGAAAGCUCCGGCUAACUACGUGCCAGCAGCCGCGGUAAUACGUAGGGAGCAAGCGUUAUCCGGAAUUAUUGGGUGUAAAGGGUGCGUAGACGGGAUAACAAGUUGGUUGUGAAACCCCUCGGCUCAACUGAGGAACUGCAACCAAAACUAUUAUUCUUGAGUGCAGGAGAGGAAAGUGGAAUUCCUAGUGUAGCGGUGAAAUGCGUAGAUAUUAGGAAGAACACCGGUGGCGAAGGCGACUUUCUGGACUGUAACUGACGUUGAGGCACGAAAGUGUGGGGAGCAAACAGGAUUAGAUACCCUGGUAGUCCACACUGUAAACGAUGGAUACUAGGUGUAGGAGGUAUUAAGCCUUCUGUGCCGUCGCUAACGCAGUAAGUAUCCCACCUGGGGAGUACGACCGCAAGGUUGAAACUCAAAGGAAUUGACGGGGGCCCGCACAAGCAGUGGAGUAUGUGGUUUAAUUCGAAGCAACGCGAAGAACCUUACCAGGGCUUGACAUACAAGUGAAUGGCUAAGAGAUUAGUCAGUAUUUCGGUACACUUGUACAGGUGGUGCAUGGUUGUCGUCAGCUCGUGUCGUGAGAUGUUAGGUUAAGUCCUGCAACGAGCGCAACCCCUAUACUUAGUUGCCAGCACGUGAAGCAGGGAACUCUAAGUAGACUGCCGAGUGAUAAAUCGGACAAAGGUGGGGACGAGGUCAAAUCAUCAUGCCCUUUAUGUCCUGGGCUACACACGUACUACAAUGGCUAUAACAAAGAGAAGCGAAAUGGAGACAUUAAGCGGAACGCAAAAAAGUAGUCUCAGUUCGGAUUGAAGGCUGAAUUUCGCCUUCAUGAAGCCGGAACUGGUAGUAAUGGCAGGUCAGCAUACUAACCGUGAAUACGUUCCCGGGCCU
RNAcentral lists this ribosomal RNA (1346 nucleotides) under uncultured bacterium. RNAcentral describes it as "bacterial SSU rRNA". It matches the Rfam family "Bacterial small subunit ribosomal RNA", at positions 28 to 1381 of the family's 1533-position model. The record is from RNAcentral.